GUCGAGGGGCAGCACGAUGUAGCAAUACAUUGGUGGCGACCGGCGCACGGGUGAGUAACGCGUAUGCAACCUACCUAUCAGAGGGGAAUAACCCGGCGAAAGUCGGACUAAUACCGCAUAAAACAGGGGUUCCACAUGGAAAUAUUUGUUAAAGAAUUAUCGCUGAUAGAUGGGCAUGCGUUCCAUUAGAUAGUUGGUGAGGUAACGGCUCACCAAGUCCACGAUGGAUAGGGGUUCUGAGAGGAAGGUCCCCCACACUGGUACUGAGACACGGACCAGACUCCUACGGGAGGCAGCAGUGAGGAAUAUUGGUCAAUGGGCGAGAGCCUGAACCAGCCAAGUCGCGUGAAGGAUGAAGGAUCUAUGGUUUGUAAACUUCUUUUAUAUGGGAAUAAAGUGAGGAACGUGUUCCUUUUUGUAUGUACCAUAUGAAUAAGCAUCGGCUAACUCCGUGCCAGCAGCCGCGGUAAUACGGAGGAUGCGAGCGUUAUCCGGAUUUAUUGGGUUUAAAGGGUGCGUAGGUGGUUAAUUAAGUCAGCGGUGAAAGUUUGUGGCUCAACCAUAAAAUUGCCGUUGAAACUGGUUGACUUGAGUAUAUUUGAGGUAGGCGGAAUGCGUGGUGUAGCGGUGAAAUGCAUAGAUAUCACGCAGAACUCCGAUUGCGAAGGCAGCUUACUAAACUAUAACUGACACUGAAGCACGAAAGCGUGGGGAUCAAACAGGAUUAGAUACCCUGGUAGUCCACGCAGUAAACGAUGAUUACUAGCUGUUUGCGAUACACAGUAAGCGGCACAGCGAAAGCGUUAAGUAAUCCACCUGGGGAGUACGCCGGCAACGGUGAAACUCAAAGGAAUUGACGGGGGCCCGCACAAGCGGAGGAACAUGUGGUUUAAU
RNAcentral lists this ribosomal RNA (894 nucleotides) under uncultured bacterium. RNAcentral's name for it is "bacterial SSU rRNA". It matches the Rfam family "Bacterial small subunit ribosomal RNA", at positions 61 to 950 of the family's 1533-position model. The record is from RNAcentral.